AGCUAGUUGGUGGGGUAAGAGCCUACCAAGGCGGUGAUCGGUAGCUGGUCUGAGAGGAUGAUCAGCCAGACUGGGACUGAGAUACGGCCCAGACUCCUACGGGAGGCAGCAGUUAGGAAUUUUGGGCAAUGGGGGAAACCCUGACCCAGCAACGCCGCGUGGGUGAUGAAGGCCUUCGGGUCGUAAAGCCCUUUUCUGGGGGACGAUAAUGACGGUACCCCAGGAAUAGCCUCGGCUAACUACGUGCCAGCAGCCGCGGUAAAACGUAGGAGGCGAGCGUUGUCCGGAUUUACUGGGCGUAAAGAGCGCGUAGGCGGCUUCGCAAGUCAGGUGUGAAAUCUCCCGGCUUAACUGGGAGGGGUCAUUUGAUACUGUGGGGCUGGAGUGCAGUAGAGGGAGACGGAAUUCCGGGUGUAGUGGUGAAAUGCGUAGAUAUCCGGAGGAACACCAGUGGCGAAGGCGGUCUCCUGGGCUGUUACUGACGCUGAGGUGCGAAAGCGUGGGGAGCGAACUGAAUUAGAUACUCAGGUAGUCCACGCUGUAAACGAUGGACACUAGGUGUGGGGGGUAUCGACCCCCUCCGUGCCGUAGCCAACGCGAUAAGUGUCUCGCCUGGGGAGUACGGCCGCAAGGCUAAAACUCAAAGGAAUUGACGGGGGCCCGCACAAGCAGCGGAGCGUGUGGUUUAAUUCGACGCAACGCGCAGAACCUUACCAGGGCUUGACAUGUACAGGCAAAGGCCGGAAACGGUCUCCUCCCGCCAGGGAUCUGUACACAGGUGCUGCAUGGCUGUCGUCAGCUCGUGCCGUGAGGUGUUGGGUUAAGUCCCGCAACGAGCGCAACCCCUGUGCCUAGUUAAAUUCUCUAGGCAGACUGCCGAUACAAAAUCGGAGGAAGGUGGGGAUGACGUCAAGUCGGCACGGCCCUUACGUCCUGGGCUACACACACGCUACAAUGGGUGGUACAAAGGGCUGCUAAGCCGCGAGGCGGAGCGAAUCCCAUCAAAGCCAUCCUCAGUUCAGAUUGGGGGCUGCAACUCGCCCCCAUGAAGGCGGAGUUGCUAGUAACCGCAGGUCAGCACACUGCGGUGAAUAUGUUCCCGGGCCUUGUACACACCGCCCGUCACGUCAUGAAAGCUGGCAACACCUGAAGUCGCUGGGCUAACCCGCAAGGGAGGCAGGCGCCGAAGGUGGGGCUAGUGAUAGGGACGAAGUCGUAACAAGGUAGCCGUAGCGGAAGCUGCGGCUG
This 1248-nucleotide ribosomal RNA is filed under the name metagenome. RNAcentral's name for it is "bacterial SSU rRNA". It matches the Rfam family "Bacterial small subunit ribosomal RNA", at positions 243 to 1520 of the family's 1533-position model. The record is from RNAcentral.